RNAcentral lists this non-coding RNA (45 nucleotides) under Schistosoma margrebowiei. The record is from RNAcentral. Lineage: Eukaryota; Metazoa; Platyhelminthes; Trematoda; Strigeidida; Schistosomatidae.
GCACUACUGAGGAGUCCCACAUAGAACGGAAUGGCCGUCCAGUGC